RNAcentral lists this transfer RNA (74 nucleotides) under Hammondia hammondi. RNAcentral describes it as "tRNA-Cys". It matches the Rfam family "tRNA". Rfam says of the family: Transfer RNA (tRNA) molecules are approximately 80 nucleotides in length. Their secondary structure includes four short double-helical elements and three loops (D, anti-codon, and T loops). Lineage: Eukaryota; Apicomplexa; Conoidasida; Eucoccidiorida; Sarcocystidae. The record is from RNAcentral.
AAUGGUAUAGUUUAUUUAGGUACAAUAGAGAAUUGCAAAUUCUUGACUUCUCAGUUCGAAUCUGAGUAUCAGUU